This 459-nucleotide ribosomal RNA is filed under the name uncultured bacterium. RNAcentral's name for it is "partial 16S ribosomal RNA". It matches the Rfam family "Bacterial small subunit ribosomal RNA", at positions 338 to 795 of the family's 1533-position model. The record is from RNAcentral.
CCUACGGGAGGCAGCAGUGAGGAAUAUUGGUCAAUGGCCGAGAGGCUGAACCAGCCAAGUCGCGUGAGGGAUGACGGCCCUACGGGUUGUAAACCUCUUUUGUCGGGGAGCAAAGAGAGUCACGUGUGGUUCAUUGAGAGUACCCGAAGAAAAAGCAUCGGCUAACUCCGUGCCAGCAGCCGCGGUAAUACGGAGGAUGCGAGCGUUAUCCGGAUUUAUUGGGUUUAAAGGGUGCGCAGGCGGAGGUGCAAGUCAGUGGUCAAAUUGCGGGGCUCAACCCCGUACUGCCGUUGAAACUGCAUCCCUUGAGUGCGCGAGAAGUAUGCGGAAUGCGUGGUGUAGCGGUGAAAUGCAUAGAUAUCACGCAGAACUCCGAUUGCGAAGGCAGCAUACCGGCGCGCAACUGACGCUCAUGCACGAAAGCGUGGGUAUCGAACAGGAUUAGAUACCCUGGUAGUC